This is a long non-coding RNA of Bufo bufo (common toad), 869 nucleotides long. RefSeq lists it as uncharacterized. The transcript is spliced from 3 exons. The record is from RefSeq and is a predicted model, not a curated record. Lineage: Eukaryota; Metazoa; Chordata; Amphibia; Anura; Bufonidae.
UGGUGACCCAGUCCCGUAGCUGAAUAAUAUUUAGGUGACAGUCCGUGUGUAUGUGUGUCCCACCCUACAAUCAGCAUGACAGAGUGCUAUCAGCUCCCUUGUCCUCAUUAACACUUUCUCCCGAGCUGACAUCAGAACUGAGCACAGAAAGAAAAUCUGGAAAGGGAGGAUUCAAGGGACACAAACUUUUCAUUUUCUCAUAGAAAGGGAAGAAUGGCAUUAAAGGUUUUCCGGUACUUACAGAAGACUACAGUGAAUAGAGCUGAGCUGCGGUAUGAUGGCGCUGUAAACUACACAGUGGACUGUGCCUAAAUACAUAAGUAACAAGGCCUGAAACUCCUGGGCACUCAUAUAAAGCUUUACCUUGGGACACCACCUCAUUAGUACCAAUUUUUUGAUGACAUCACUUUGCCUAGGAUCUCUGCAGGGUGAUUACAUUAUAGAUUAAUUAACAUAAGUCACUAGCAUGUACAGGGGUUCAGACGUAGCAGUUGUACCAGGGAGAUGGCACUAAAGACCAGAUGAAGACACCAUUAUAAUAAAUAGUAUAGGGUGGGUGGGGGGACUGAAUCUAUAUAUCACUGGCAUAUGUCAUUCUACCUCUAUAAUUUCUUCUUUAGGAGCACACGUUCUGUAUCCCCUAUAUCUAAACCUCUAAGCAGACCUCAGUUUGUCAAUGAAGUAGAGCUAAAUGUGUAAUUUUGACAAUUUACAAUGAUGUUACCGCAGGUAACUCAGGAUGAGCACAUCACUCAAAAUUCUAUUCAGGUUGGAUUCGGCCAACCGUUUCGAUACAGGCCUGAACCAAUUCCACGUGAAUCAGAAGUGCUCCAAUACAUCUAAAAUUUUCUAUACCUCUCCCUCCCAAA